CAAGGGAUUACAAACACAUAUAUAAAAUAAUUACCAACUAUAGAUAAAUUCUACAUAAUUAACACACACAAUCCCUUAAAACAAAUUGAGAACAGCUACGAAUAAACACCAACAAAUAUACAAACAAACAAACAAACAAACAAAGAUCUCUAUGCAAACUCCGCUGAAACCAAAACAACUCUCGAGCGUGCUUGCGUCAUGACGUCGCGGCGUCACAUGACGGCAGCAGCACAGCUGAGAGGGGAGCGUCAAGGCGGCGUAGAGCGGAUUACUCUGUGUUUACAUUCCGUUUACCGUCUCUUUUCUGCGUUUACUCCGAUUUUACCACAACAGCGCGCAUCUCCUGCAUCUGACCGCCUGAAGCAGGUUGAAGAGGAGCAGCAGAGUUCGGAGGCUCAUGGGAGCCCCGCACUGGAGGACGAGCAGACUUUCUCACAAUUCUGCUACACGAGAAAACUGGAGAAGACAAGUCCAAACCUCCCAGUUACAAGAAAAAGGUACGGUAAAAACAAUUACUCGGAGGUGUCGAGUCAGCAGUGUUACGGUCACCUGCGGCCCUCCGCCGUCCCUCCGGCGCUGCCCCCCGCUGACCUGGAGCUGGAGAAACCCAUCGCUGCCAGCUCCAGCUGAAGACACCAGCGGUCAGCCAUCGAUCGCUGGCCCUGUGCAACACUGAGUCACAAACUCUCAUCAUCUUAAAAUAUAUACGCCGUUCAAAAGUGCAAUUCCUGAAAACUCUACUAUUUUCUUAAGAACCGCAUCUUUUUUUUUUUAUCUUGAGAAGAAAAUAAGCUUAAUUUGUUGUUUUCAGAUUGCGUGACCUUUCUUGCCAAAAACACCUCGCGCAACACUUUUCAUUCGGAUUCGGCCGGAUUCACGAAAACAUGCAGCUUCAGAUGUUUACGAGCAAUUCCAAUAAGUUCGUAAGAGUCACAAAAACCUUCCUGAGAUAGAAGUUAAAGAUGAAUUCACAGAAAUCGGUAGCACUGUAUUUUACAGUCCUGUUCCACGUGUACAUACUGUGCUCUUAAUAAACAAUCCCAUAAUAACUGGGUACUAACCCUG
This is a long non-coding RNA of Cyprinus carpio (common carp), 1065 nucleotides long. Lineage: Eukaryota; Metazoa; Chordata; Actinopteri; Cypriniformes; Cyprinidae. The record is from Ensembl.